UUAACACAUGCAAGUCGAACGCUGAAGCCCCAGCUUGCUGGGGUGGAUGAGUGGCGAACGGGUGAGUAACACGUGAGUAACCUGCCCCUGACUUCGGGAUAAGCCCGGGAAACUGGGUCUAAUACUGGAUACGACCUGUCCUCGCAUGAGGGUGGGUGGAAAGUUUUUUCGGUUGGGGAUGGGCUCGCGGCCUAUCAGUUUGUUGGUGAGGUAAUGGCUCACCAAGACGACGACGGGUAGCCGGCCUGAGAGGGCGACCGGCCACACUGGGACUGAGACACGGCCCAGACUCCUACGGGAGGCAGCAGUGGGGAAUAUUGCACAAUGGGGGAAACCCUGAUGCAGCGACGCAGCGUGCGGGAUGACGGCCUUCGGGUUGUAAACCGCUUUCAGCAGGGAAGAAGCGAAAGUGACGGUACCUGCAGAAGAAGUACCGGCUAACUACGUGCCAGCAGCCGCGGUAAUACGUAGGGUACGAGCGUUGUCCGGAAUUAUUGGGCGUAAAGAGCUCGUAGGUGGUUGGUCACGUCUGCUGUGGAAACGCAACGCUUAACGUUGCGCGUGCAGUGGGUACGGGCUGACUAGAGUGCAGUAGGGGAGUCUGGAAUUCCUGGUGUAGCGGUGAAAUGCGCAGAUAUCAGGAGGAACACCGGUGGCGAAGGCGGGACUCUGGGCUGUAACUGACACUGAGGAGCGAAAGCAUGGGGAGCGAACAGGAUUAGAUACCCUGGUAGUCCAUGCCGUAAACGUUGGGCACUAGGUG
Molecule: ribosomal RNA, 763 nt
Filed under: Brevibacterium sp.
Lineage: Bacteria; Bacillati; Actinomycetota; Actinomycetes; Micrococcales; Brevibacteriaceae
Description: bacterial SSU rRNA
Rfam family: Bacterial small subunit ribosomal RNA
Source: RNAcentral